RNAcentral lists this ribosomal RNA (467 nucleotides) under uncultured bacterium. RNAcentral describes it as "partial 16S ribosomal RNA". It matches the Rfam family "Bacterial small subunit ribosomal RNA", at positions 28 to 507 of the family's 1533-position model. The record is from RNAcentral.
GACGAACGCUGGCGGCGUGCUUAACACAUGCAAGUCGAACGGAAAGGCCUAGUUCGGGGGGUAGUCGAGUGGCGAACGGGUGAGUAACACGUGAGUAACCUGCCCUUGACUUUGGGAUAACUUCGGGAAACUGGGGCUAAUACCGGAUAGGAGCGCCUGCUGCAUGGUGGGGGUUGGAAAGUUUCGGCGGUUGGGGAUGGACUCGCGGCCUAUCAGCUUGUUGGUGGGGUAGUGGCUUACCAAGGCGUUGACGGGUAGCCGGCCUGAGAGGGUGACCGGCCCCAUUGGGGCUGGGAUACGGGCCAGAACUCUACCGGGGGCCGCCGUGGGGAAUAUUUGCCCAUGGGUGGAAGCCCGAUGCCAGAGACCCGGCGUCGGGAUGACGGCCCUUGGGUUGUAAACCGCUUUCGCUCAUGACGGAGCUUUGUGUGACGGUAGUUAGUAAAGAAGCACCGGCUAACUACGUG